This 423-nucleotide unclassified non-coding RNA is filed under the name soil metagenome. RNAcentral describes it as "partial contains 5.8S ribosomal RNA, internal transcribed spacer 2, and large subunit ribosomal RNA". The stretch from base 1 to 120 matches the Rfam family "5.8S ribosomal RNA", at positions 35 to 154 of the family's 154-position model. The record is from RNAcentral.
GAUGAAGAACGCAGCGAAAUGCGAUAAGUAAUGUGAAUUGCAGAAUUCAGUGAAUCAUCGAAUCUUUGAACGCACCUUGCGCUCCCUGGUAUUCCGGGGAGCACGCCUGUUCGAGUGUCGCGAUAUUCUUCAAGCCUUGGAUGGAUUUUUUUUUUGUCUGUCCUUGGGCUUGGUUGUUGGGCUCUGCCGUGUCCUUCAUUGGGACGGCUGGCCUUAAAAGCAUUAGCCGAUCCUCGUGUGGUACUGGUUCUACUCAGCGUGAUAACAAUCUGAUCGUUGAGGACAUCUUCUGGAUGGCCAGUCAUCAUUUGGGUUGCUUCUAAACCGGUUUCGCAGAUUGCUCAAUCUGUGUGCCACUUUUCAGCUUUGACCUCGAAUCAGGUGGGACUACCCGCUGAACUUAAGCAUAUCAAUAAGCGGAGA